UACGGGGGGGGCAAGCGUUGUUCGGAAUUACUGGGCGUAAAGGGCUCGUAGGCGGCCAACUAAGUCAGACGUGAAAUCCCUCGGCUUAACCGGGGAACUGCGUCUGAUACUGGAUGGCUUGAGUUUGGGAGAGGGAUGCGGAAUUCCAGGUGUAGCGGUGAAAUGCGUAGAUAUCAGGAAGAACACCCGUGGCGAAGGCGGCUCUCUGGGACGGUACUGACGCUGAGACGCGAAAGCGUGGGGAGCGAACAGG
Molecule: ribosomal RNA, 253 nt
Filed under: uncultured bacterium
Lineage: Bacteria
Description: partial 16S ribosomal RNA
Rfam family: Bacterial small subunit ribosomal RNA
Source: RNAcentral